This 72-nucleotide transfer RNA is filed under the name Megalops atlanticus (tarpon). RNAcentral describes it as "tRNA-OTHER". Lineage: Eukaryota; Metazoa; Chordata; Actinopteri; Elopiformes; Megalopidae. The record is from RNAcentral.
GGCAGUGUAGCAUAAUGGUAAGGAGCAGGGCUCGUAACCGAAAGGUUGCUGGUUCGAUUCCAUGCUGGGGCA